RNAcentral lists this unclassified non-coding RNA (253 nucleotides) under uncultured Armatimonadota bacterium. RNAcentral's name for it is "uncultured Armatimonadetes bacterium contains 16S-23S intergenic spacer region". It matches the Rfam family "Bacterial small subunit ribosomal RNA", at positions 524 to 776 of the family's 1533-position model. Lineage: Bacteria; Bacillati; Armatimonadota. The record is from RNAcentral.
UACGGAGGGUGCAAGCGUUAAUCGGAAUGACUGGGCGUAAAGCGCACGCAGGCGGUCUGCUAAGCCAGAUGUGAAAGCCCCGGGCUCAACCUGGGAACUGCAUUUGAAACUGGCAGGCUAGAGUGUUGGAGAGGGGAGUAGAAUUGCCGGUGUAGCGGUGAAAUGCGUAGAGAUCGGAAGGAAUACCAGUGGCGAAGGCGGCCCCCUGGCCAAAGACUGACGCUCAGGUGCGAAAGCGAGGGGAGCAAACAGG